UAGCGGCAGAACUGUCCCCGAGGAUUCUACCAGCCAGGUAGCUUAACUGCAUAUCAUAUAGUAGAAAAAGAACUAAAUUGAAUGUACCUGAUUGCACGUCGCCAAGGAUAAAAAGGUGUCAAUCGAAUGUUGUCAUGUACACAACAACUCGGAAUUAAAUAGGUGUCCUUAGGAUCAGCUUACGAUGUCAUGAAAAUAACCUUGUGAAGUCUUCGGAUUCCUCUUUAUACUACAAUUCAGACAAGUUUAUUUAUAUUCGACCAAUGUACUGUUCAACUUUCAGAUAUAUUAGAUUUCAACGAGAACUUGCAACAUUGUUUCAUUUCUAAAUGUAAUCGUACAAACUGUAGAAUUUGUGCUAUACUUAUUACUGAUACCUAUUUUCAAAGUAAAUUUACAAUACACGUAGUCAGUAGGAUCUGAAUUGUAGUGCUUCUAAUAUUGUGAACGGUAUUGAGUGUACUCUUUGUAGCCUGAUCUAUGUUAGUGAAACUAUAUCGGCAAAUACUUAACAAAGGAAUAAAUUAUCACCGGUCUAUUGUUAAUAGUCAUGAGAACAAUAAAUUUCUGUAUAAAUACGUUCAACAGGCUGACCAUUCCAUUAUUUCUAUGAAAGUCGGGAUUGCAGAGAAAAUCGAUCAUUCAAUAAAUGAUCCCAUAUUACAGCAGAUCGCUUACAAAGAGAGGAUUUCCCGAUCCAAGAAUUGGAAACAGCUAUCCCUUUCGAAUGCGACGACAAAAUUGUUGGUGAAGAUAUUUUGUCUAGUCCCAGGUAUCAACAAAUUAAAUUAUUCAACACCUCUGUUCGAAACAGUUGGAGUCACGGUCAUCGAACAUAUACACCACCCGCAGUUCAAACCGUGUCUACAGAUGGUUCGUCAUUCUCUGUUCAUAAACCUUGUGUGAAUUCACUGUAUUAAGAGGACAAUAACACUUCUGUUAUUGAUAAAAAUUCUGCAAAAAAAAUGUACAGAUUGGUUACAAUAAUUAUAGACAUUGAUUACUCCAGUGAUAACUACUUUAAGAUGGUGAAAAAAUAUGAAGAAUUUCUAAGUGUUUGGAUGCCAUCAAUAUUAGCAAUAUUUUCAAUCAAAAAUCUGUGCAGAAAACAAUACCGGAUUACUUCAAAGAAAAAUUCAUAUACCUACACCAAACCUAUCGUCUGUAAGAUUGUCAACAACAAGAAUGUAUUUAAAGACCUUUACCCACAGGGAUGUAAAAUUUCUCUUGUACAUCGUCCCCAUGGAAAUUAAGUCCAGCUGAUUAUGUUAUAACUGGAGAUCUUGGUAUCGUAAACAAUGAAUUUCUUAGAGGCUUGUUAGCCAAAGGCAUGAAAUAUAGAAAUCCCUAGACCAUCAACUGGAGAAAGAACUUCAGGUUACCAAUGGAUGAAUUCGAGGACUGCUCCAGAAAAUGGGUAAAGCGCGAGCUAGUUGAGCCAAAACUGGACACUUUAUCUGAAUGGAUCAAAGCUGUUCGGUCAUGCAUUCAGAGAAACUUAUGAACAUGUUUAUUGUGGAGAAAAAAGAGAGGAAGACAAAGUAUAAACGGAGGAAUCAAUAAAAUCCAAAAUAAUUUUUGAUAAACAAUACCGGACAACUUUAUACGAAAUCAUAUUGGUAUGCAUAAGUCAUUAACAAACGACUUUUAAAAACCAACUAAUAGAUGCAUGUCAAACUUGGUAUUAACUUCAUUGUUUUCUUAUUUUAAUUUCUUUUCAGCAAAGUUCUCAUCCAAGCAACCUUUUGAAGACAUGGAAGAACGAACAAAUAUUAACCUUCAAAACUGAUACCAAAAUGUUUUCGUUUGCAACAAAAUAUGUCACAACAAAUAUUGCUCAGUUGUAAUCUUUAUUUAAAAUGAAUAAAUGUAGUACAUAA
This is a long non-coding RNA of Mytilus californianus (California mussel), 1880 nucleotides long. RefSeq lists it as uncharacterized. The record is from RefSeq and is a predicted model, not a curated record. NCBI's taxonomy places the organism in Eukaryota, Metazoa, Mollusca, Bivalvia, Mytilida, Mytilidae. The transcript has 2 exons.